RNAcentral lists this transfer RNA (85 nucleotides) under Acidimicrobiales bacterium. RNAcentral's name for it is "tRNA-Ser". It matches the Rfam family "tRNA". Rfam says of the family: Transfer RNA (tRNA) molecules are approximately 80 nucleotides in length. RNAcentral also lists the same sequence under 1 other name. The record is from RNAcentral. Lineage: Bacteria; Bacillati; Actinomycetota; Acidimicrobiia; Acidimicrobiales.
GGAGGGAUGGCAGAGCGGACGAAUGCACGGCUCUUGAAAAGCCGCGAGACCUCGGUCUCCGUGGGUUCGAAUCCCACUCCCUCCG